This is a long non-coding RNA of Gorilla gorilla gorilla (western lowland gorilla), 2483 nucleotides long. RefSeq lists it as uncharacterized. NCBI's taxonomy places the organism in Eukaryota, Metazoa, Chordata, Mammalia, Primates, Hominidae. The transcript is spliced from 7 exons. The record is from RefSeq and is a predicted model, not a curated record.
AGAGGCAAAAUGGCAGUUAAACUGGUUUGCGACUUUCCUCUGGAACGCUCGACUGCUUAAGAGAAAAAUGCCUCAAAUGAGCAUGUGCACAACUCCAGCAAACACGCUGGACAUGCGGCCUCUCCCAAGUGCUGGCAGGCCACUGCACAUGCGGACCCACGGGGAGAAUCAGCAGAGAAGAAAUGCAAACCCCAGAGUCAUGCCAAGAUGUAAUGGUGAAGUUGAGAUGAUGAUCAAAGUCUUACUUCAGACAAAUCAUGAGUCUCAGAGGAAGUGAUGACAGAGAUGUCUGUGGAAACUAUUGAAGAGGAAGGCUUUGCUAAAUCUUCAUGGAGCCAUGUGAGGACACAGUGUUUGAGUCACCAUUUUGAAAGCAGAGAGAUGGGGACCUCACCAGACACGGAACCUGCUGGUGCCUUGAUCUGGGACCUCUCAGGCUACAGAACUUUCUGGAUUUGAACUCCUGGCCUCAUGGGAUCCUCCUGCCUCAGCCUUCCAGUUCCAAUCCUCCUGCUGGGAUUACAGGUGUGAGUCACCAGGCUGGGCCUUAUUUUGUAUAAAUCGUUUCAAAAGCUUCUUGACAGUUUUACGACCCAACAGUGUCAUUCUGAAGGACCUACUAGUGGAGCCAUUUCUUUGAAACUUUAAAAUGUAAAUGCUGAAGGAGAUACCACCUCUAUCUAUCUUACAGUCUCUAGGAGAGAGUAGGAAUCUUAGGUGGACCCUUUGUUCCAAAGUGUGAAAUUACAUUCUGUCAUGGAGAGAGUCCUUUCUAUGGAGGAGACAUUAUGCUAGAAUUUUCACACAGAUUAUUUUAUUUAACUCCAAGAACUACUCCAUGAAAUAGGCAUGAUCAUCACCUUCAUUGUUUUACAGGAGAAAAGUUGCAGCGAAGUGCAAAUUAUCAGGCUGAAGAUAAAUUAAGAAGCACUGGCACCUUCACUGAUCUUCAAACUAAGAACUGCCCAUAAAGUGGUGCUGCCAAGAUUGGAUUUCUCCUGCAUGCUCCUUCAGUGAUUUUUAUAUUUUAAUAAGACUGUUCAUUAUAGUUAGCUCCUCAUGUUGGAGCCAUUAGAUAUUUGUGGGAAAUAACAUAUCAUUAUCUCAGUUGCAUUCUGAGCCAUUUGGGAUGCUUUUAAGUUAGAAUGAUUUUUUUCCUGUCUUAAUUUUACACACACUAGUGCCUACAUGCUUGUUCAGCUUAUUUCUGUCUUCAGGUUCUUUGAUUCUAUUUUUCAACUUUAUUGUGUUAAAGUGGCUGAUGAACAGUGUCACUAACUGCUAGAUAGGAGUAGCCUCAAAUUCAGUUAAUUCAAAAAUUUACUGUCUUGAGAGAGGGGUUGACAUUCUAAGUCCUUUAUUUAUUCCGUCUCUCUCUCUCACCUAAAAUUCCAUCAGGAAACAUUCACACACAUCUCUGUAUCUCUUCAAAUUUAGCAUUAGGGAUCUAAGCAUGGAAACAAUGAUUUUGACAUUACAUGACCAUAAGAACCAAGGAUAUUAAGAGGAAUGCUUAGAGCAUAUAAAGGCAAAAAGCAAACACAACAUACACUCAACAAUUAGUGAGCAAUCAAACCAAAUGCAGAUCUAGUGCAACUGAGUAAUUUUCAGUGGUGAAAUGUGAACCUAUAGAAGGUUCUAAGUUAUAUUUGUGAUUUCCAUGUAAUAAAGUGUAUAUUAAGUUUAGAUUGGGAUUUAGCAAAGCUAUGUAGUUAUUCUUGUAACUAUUCAAGUUUGGGAUGGGGGGUGGAUAAAGAUUAACUAUGCAGCAAAAUCCUGUCUUCUCUCUUAUUAUUUGUUCACCAAAAAGAUCUAUGAUCUGAACUGUUUUAAAUUUUUAUUGGCUAUCGCAUCUGGUGUGGUGAGAACCCUCAUAGAAUCCAGAAGUUUUUAAACUCAUACAUGGUAUUUUAUUUCAUAUUCCUUCUUUAUGUUUAUUUUGAAGGCUAGCCUAGAAUUGUUUAUUCAGUAAAUUAAUAUUUAUUGUGCAUAUACUGUUUCCAAGUAUUGAGCACUAGGAAUGCAUAUAUUAAAUAUAGAAUUAAUCUCUACCCCAAGGACUUCGCAAACAAGUACAUAUAUGCGUGUGUAAUCAUUCGUUUUAUUUAUUACUAAAUUGCCAGUGAGAGAAAUUUUAGGAUGUUGACUUUAUACACAGUUAACAUUCCCAUCUUCCUCAAAUUUAGAUCUUGAUGUAGGAUUACUAAGUUCUGCAGUUGCCAAAUACAUUAUACAACCAGAAAAACAAUAUUACUUUUUGAGAUGAAUAUCAUUUUAUAAUAAUAGGCAUUAUGAAACUAAAAAUGAAGAAAAUGUCUUAAUUCCAAAAGACUAUCUUACAAGCAAUAUGUUUAGUUUUCCAAUAAUUGACUAUAUUCCUCUGAUGUGGUUCAUCUCACUAUGGACGGUGAAAACUUUGUCAUGGCUUUUGCAAAACAGUUUUAUUUGGGAGCUAGUAAGAAAUAAAAUAGUCUGAUAUUUUA